This is a long non-coding RNA of Ictalurus punctatus (channel catfish), 459 nucleotides long. The record is from Ensembl. Lineage: Eukaryota; Metazoa; Chordata; Actinopteri; Siluriformes; Ictaluridae.
UGGUCGAAAACCCGCCCCUUCCUUUCGUUGCUACGGACUACAGAGUGUGACGUUGGGCUACCGAGACUGUGUGCAGGUGUGAUGUGCUGCUCGCUCUCAGUGCGGUGUGUCGUCAAGGCUCCCAUCUGUGUAGCAUGGUAGUUUAACGCAGGCCCGGUCGGAGCGCCAGCUGUUGACGUCACAACUAUUAAAGAAGCUAUCGUGAUUUUCGUAUGUGCCAUCGUGAGUACUAUGUCAUCGGAUCACGGGUCCUCGAUUUUGCAUACGUUAAGGCGGGCUGAGUGAGAUGUGGUCGUUUCGGAGCUGAGUGCUUCCUGAGGCUGGGGGGAGUUCUAUGCUGUACCUUAGGCUUUACUUAAUUAAGGGUUGUUAUUAUUGUCGUUAAGCCUUUCUCAAGGGUUCAGAAGUGGAAUUUGAACUCACAACGCUCCACUGUCUUUACUGAAAAUAAAUUUCUCA